CGCAACCCUCGCUGUGUGUUACAAGUGUCACACGGAACUGCCGGUCGAUAAACCGGAGGAAGGUGGGGAGUGACGUCAAGUCAGCAUGGCCUUUAUAUCCUGGGCUACACACACGCUACAAUGGGAAGGGACAAUAGGUUGCGAAGCCGCGAGGCGGAGCCAAUCCAGCAAAACUUCCCUCAGUUCAGAUUGCAGGCUGCAACUCGCCUGCAUGAAGUUGGAGUUGCUAGUAAACGCAGGUCAGCCAUACUGCGUUGAAUACGUUCCCGGGGCUU
Molecule: ribosomal RNA, 275 nt
Filed under: uncultured Anaerolineaceae bacterium
Lineage: Bacteria; Bacillati; Chloroflexota; Anaerolineae; Anaerolineales; Anaerolineaceae
Description: partial 16S ribosomal RNA
Rfam family: Bacterial small subunit ribosomal RNA
Source: RNAcentral